Non-coding RNA from Linepithema humile (Argentine ant), 1877 nucleotides. The record is from RefSeq and is a predicted model, not a curated record. NCBI's taxonomy places the organism in Eukaryota, Metazoa, Arthropoda, Insecta, Hymenoptera, Formicidae.
GGCGUAGAAAUACUGUAUUCAGGACCUCGACAAUGCCGCCGAAGGCUUCCCCGAAUGACGCCGUGACGUACUGCAGCGUCAGCUCGAGGAGUUCCAGUCACAGUGAUCAUAUAUGGAGGUUUGAUAAUGUCAUCGGUAUUGUCGGAUAAGCGACGUGGAGGUAUCUUAGGCCAAGAUGGAUCGGAAGGAAGCCUAAUUGAGAGUAUUGUGAUGAAAUCAAACAAGAUUCUGCUCGUUUGCCAGUAAUUCUAACGCAAUGAAAACAUUAUGCCUACCGUAAGGUGCCGAUAUCACAUUUUUCCGAAAUCGCUGAUAAAUUUUGUCCAUUUACUAAAAAGUGUACGUUAAAACGGUAUCAUUUAUUGUUCUUCCACGAUAAUUUUUGAAUAUUUACCUUUUAUAUGCAGUUCAAGUGCACUUGUCCCGUCAUUAUGCGCCAUAUCACGGAAUAAAUAAUUCAAAACAUUAGAAUUCCUCGUAAAACGAUGUGUUCGGCCACGCUAAAUCAUUAGAUCGGAACUUGAUAUAUUACCUAGAAAAAUGUACGCGACACAAUUGUGCACGUCAAUUACAUGUUUCUUCAACAUCGAGCGCCUUUUCUGUGACCGAGUUAUAAAUUGUUUUGUUUGUCGGGAGUCAAUUGUCUCGGAAUUGUUCUCCGCAUUACCGUAUCAAUGUGAACACAAAUGAUUGUUACGGAUUAUACACUUUAUUAUUACAUAAUCUUUAUAUUUAUAUAAUAUGUAAGUUUAACUUAGGGCAUAAUAUUUACACCGAAUAUACAGUAAACAUAGUUAUAGCCAGUCUUGAGAGAAAGAGACGGAGACAGAGAAAGAGAAGAGAUUGGAACAUUUUCAAAAUCUCGAGUACGAGAUUACACAUCCGAUUUUACACCCGAUAAAUAUGUUAGCAAACAUCUCUACGCUAGACAUAUAACCGAAGGUGGAAAGUAUAGUCUGCUUAUGCGCGCGACAUAGGCCAACGCAUAAAUUGAACUUCAAGUCUGGUUAUAACAUUAUUACAGGAACGAUCAUUCGAUCACUACUUAACGAUAUUCUCUCUAUUAAUUGUGGUAAUGUUAAAGUAUGUUCGCGCACUGUAUUUAUUGUUAUAUCACAUCACAUCGUUAAUCUAACAUUGCAACUGUCCCUCUUUGAUUUUCUUUUACACGUCUUGUUUGUCAAAGCAGUUGGUAAUUCUCUUUCCUUCCUUUUCUCUUUUUUUUUUUGUUUGUAUAGAUUACUGAUACCAUGUUAUAUAGAUAUAUAGGUCCUGACAUGUUCUUCUCUGAUGCAAUGUCAGAAAACGUACUAAUAAUAAAAAUACGAUAUAAUAUAACGCAUCAUUUAAUUUAGUUGAGAUCAAUCGAGAUGUAUUAAUUCUUCGAAGGUCGAACGUGAAUGUUGCGAUUUUUUCUACGGAUGAAAAAUAUGGAUUAAAUUUCGCAACUGCAGAAGAACACUUCUUUUCUAUCUUAUUUUCACUUUUACACACUUGUUAUACGUUCAUAAUUUCGAAUAAUUAAUACCUUUUUCGAUAACCGCGAGCUUUGAAGUCGAUUAAACACAGUUCAUUUCACAGUUCUUAUUUCACACAUCUAUCCUAUCUAGACUUUGUAAUAUCUUGUUGAUAUUCGAACACAAUUUUGUAAUACUUGUGCGUAUUAAUUAUCGAAGCAGCAGAAAUUAAUUAGCAAAUGAUGUAAAACCGACUGCAAUUGCUAUUUAUUAUAGGAGUUGCAAUUGUUGAAUGAAAUCGUGAAAUUGAAUUUUGGACUACGAGUUUGGAAUACGAGUUGAUAGAUGUGCUUUGACUAGAUGAAAUAUAAUGUAACUUUGAAUUAUUGUUUUUUCAUCGAAUAUAAAACUUCAAUCUCA